This 448-nucleotide ribosomal RNA is filed under the name uncultured bacterium. Its description in RNAcentral is "bacterial SSU rRNA". It matches the Rfam family "Bacterial small subunit ribosomal RNA", at positions 331 to 793 of the family's 1533-position model. The record is from RNAcentral.
CCAGACUCCUACGGGAGGCAGCAGUGGGGAAUAUUGGGCAAUGGGCGCAAGCCUGACCCAGCAACGCCGCGUGAAGGAAGAAGGCUUUCGGGUUGUAAACUUCUUUUAUUCGGGACGAAGAAAGUGACGGUACCGAAUGAAUAAGCCACGGCUAACUACGUGCCAGCAGCCGCGGUAAUACGUAGGUGGCAAGCGUUAUCCGGAUUUAUUGGGUGUAAAGGGCGUGUAGCCGGGCUGACAAGUCAGAUGUGAAAUCCGGGGGCUCAACCCCCGAACUGCAUUUGAAACUGUUGGUCUUGAGUAUCGGAGAGGCAGGCGGAAUUCCGUGUGUAGCGGUGAAAUGCGUAGAUAUACGGAGGAACACCAGUGGCGAAGGCGGCCUGCUGGACAAUAACUGACGCUGAGGCGCGAAAGCGUGGGGAGCAAACAGGAUUAGAUACCCGUGUAU